Molecule: long non-coding RNA, 589 nt
Filed under: Gopherus agassizii (Agassiz's desert tortoise)
Lineage: Eukaryota; Metazoa; Chordata; Testudines; Testudinidae
Description: lncRNA (ENSGAGG00000024927.1)
Source: RNAcentral
GGCGACCUAGGUGACAAUAGAACUGCUUCCAGGUCUGUGUGGAAGUGAAUCUGAUUAGCAUCUGUGUGCAGGUAAAGCUAUUGUGAGCACCAACGAAACUUUAGGUACAGUCACAACUGGGACUUAGACCUACGUUACUGGAAUGCUAACAUACGAUUGAAAGCCUCGCAUCUGGAAGAGGCCCUCACCUCCUUCACCCAGCAGCCUGACAAAGGGUGGAUGUCAAGGGAAAUCUCUCUCACCGCUCAUUCUGUGUACAAUGAUGGUAGCAGUAAGCACAAACCUGGACAAGGAGAGAUGCAAACAAUGGAGGCCCCAACACCAGAGCCUGUGUACAUUGAUGUGGACAAAGGACUAACAUUAGCAUGUUUCGUCGUCCUUUGCCUUUUCUUGAUUGUGAUGAUUAUUCGCUGUGCAAAAGUCAUCAUGGACCCUUACAGCGCCAUCCCAACUUCCACAUGGGAGGAACAGCACCUGGAUGACUGAAAGGAACACUGCUGGAAGCUUUCAGAGCACAACCUGGAUGGCCUUUUCAUUCAGAGAAGGUGAAUGUAUAUUAAACAGAGAUACAGAGUGGUGCAAAUACAGC